UACAGAGGUCUCAAGCGUUGUUCGGAUUCAUUGGGCGUAAAGGGUGUGUAGGUGGCGCCGUAAGUCGGGUGUGAAAUUUCGGAGCUUAACUCCGAAACUGCAUUCGAUACUGCGGUGCUUGAGUAUGGAAGAGGUGAGUGGAAUUCCGAGUGUAGAGGUGAAAUGCGUAGAUAUGCGGAGGAACACCAAUGGCGAAGGCAAUCCCCUGGGCCUGUACUGACGCUCAUGCACGAAAGCGUGGGGAGCAAACAGG
RNAcentral lists this ribosomal RNA (253 nucleotides) under uncultured bacterium. Its description in RNAcentral is "partial 16S ribosomal RNA". It matches the Rfam family "Bacterial small subunit ribosomal RNA", at positions 524 to 776 of the family's 1533-position model. The record is from RNAcentral.